GUGUCAGCAGCCGCGGUAAUACGUAGGGGGCGAGCGUUACCCGGAAUUACUGGGCGUAAAGGGGGCGUAGGCGGCCCGGCAAGUCAAGUGUGAAAUCCGGCGGCUCAACCGCUGGGCUGCGCUUGAAACUGCCGGGCUUGAGUGCAGCAGAGGGAGACGGAAUUGCCGGUGUAGGGGUGAAAUUCGUAGAUAUCGGCAAGAACGCCGGUGGGGAAGCCGGUCUCCUGGGCUGAGCCUGACGCUGAGGCACGAAAGCUAGGGGAGCGAACGGGAUUAGAUACCCCGGGAGUCCUAGCCGUAAACGAUGCUCACGAGGUGUGGGGCGCACAGGCGCUCUGUGCUGAAGCUAACGCGUUAAGUGAGCCGCCUGGGGAGUAUGCCCGCAAGGGUGAAACUCAAAGGAAUUGGCGGGG
RNAcentral lists this ribosomal RNA (413 nucleotides) under uncultured prokaryote. RNAcentral's name for it is "bacterial SSU rRNA". It matches the Rfam family "Bacterial small subunit ribosomal RNA", at positions 505 to 918 of the family's 1533-position model. The record is from RNAcentral.